GCUUGUCUCAAAGAUUAAGCCAUGCAUGUCUAAGUACAAGCCUCAGUAAGGUGAAACCGCGAAUGGCUCAUUAAAUCACACCUAAUCUACUGGAAAGUUACUAGUUACUUGGAUAACUGAGGUAAUUCUUGAGCUAAUACAUGCGAAAAAUCUCGACUCACGGAGAGAUGCUUUUAUUAGAUCAAAACCAAACGGCUUCGGCCGUCUCAUUGGUGACUCUGAAUAACUUUUCGGAUCGCAUGGCGCAAGCCGGCGACGUUUCAUUCAAAUUUCUGCCCUAUCAACUUUCGAUGGUAAGGUAUUGGCUUACCAUGGUUACAACGGGUAACGGAGAAUUAGGGUUCGAUUCCGGAGAGGGAGCCUGAGAAACGGCUACCACUUCCAAGGAAGGCAGCAGG
RNAcentral lists this ribosomal RNA (398 nucleotides) under Crustacea environmental sample. RNAcentral's name for it is "partial small subunit ribosomal RNA". It matches the Rfam family "Eukaryotic small subunit ribosomal RNA", at positions 30 to 432 of the family's 1831-position model. The record is from RNAcentral. Lineage: Eukaryota; Metazoa; Arthropoda.